AACUUUUGUCGGUCAGACACAAGAAGGCGUGCAGAAGAAGAAUUUGGAUGUUUGUUUGAAGCCAGCCACGACACAGACACACAGAACACGAGUUCGAAUGCAUCAAUUUGACAACAGACACACAUCUGACCUCAGUGGGCCUGGAACUGUUCUAGGGCAUUUAGAUGGACAGGUUUUCGUGACAUGGGAUUUAAAUGAUCUCACACUUAAACACCGAUGCGUAAUGAUGUUGGUGAAGUUCAGACUGUUAAAGAAUCUAGAAUAGUAAAUUCUGGCGAACUUCUGGCGGUUGGAUGUAGAGUAAAACCAGGUCCAGAUUUCGAUUACAAGAUAUACGCCAUCGAUCCUUUCAGCUGUGACGUUGUCCUAAGAAUGUACGAGCCAUUGUCCUUAGUUAUAUGGGACAACGGUGAAAGAGAUAUGUUUAGAUAUGGCAUGGACGGCACGAAGGAAAUAGAGCUAGCGUAAAACAGGUACAAAUGCAACUCGGCCGAUGGUACUUGAUGUGGAUGUACGGGUUGCCGGCUCAAGAGAAUUAAGGGGCUUUUUUCCUGCCUUUGUGAAGCGGCUUUUGGACCCUCACUUUGUAAAACAAACGAAUCGCAGAGUUUUCAUAACUGUUAUAAAACGGAUUCGCGAAAUUCGGAUGAUUCUGUGAAAACGAGCCGUGAA
This is a long non-coding RNA of Dreissena polymorpha, 672 nucleotides long. RefSeq lists it as uncharacterized. The record is from RefSeq and is a predicted model, not a curated record. NCBI's taxonomy places the organism in Eukaryota, Metazoa, Mollusca, Bivalvia, Myida, Dreissenidae. The transcript is spliced from 5 exons.